Molecule: ribosomal RNA, 301 nt
Filed under: uncultured bacterium
Lineage: Bacteria
Description: partial 16S ribosomal RNA
Rfam family: Bacterial small subunit ribosomal RNA
Source: RNAcentral
CAGUCGCCGCGGUAAUACAGAGGGUGCGAGCGUUAAUCGGAUUUACUGGGCGUAAAGCGUGCGUAGGCGGCUUUUUAAGUCGGAUGUGAAAUCCCUGAGCUUAACUUAGGAAUUGCAUUCGAUACUGGGAAGCUAGAGUAUGGGAGAGGAUGGUAGAAUUCCAGGUGUAGCGGUGAAAUGCGUAGAGAUCUGGAGGAAUACCGAUGGCGAAGGCAGCCAUCUGGCCUAAUACUGACGCUGAGGUACGAAAGCAUGGGGAGCAAACAGGAUUAGAGACCCCUGUAGUCCCUGUCUCUUAUAC